AAGAAGUCAGGCCGAUUUAAGCCAUAGUACGGUAAGAGCUAUGCUGCCUGUGAGCCCCGUCCAAGGACGUAAAAUGAAGUCAGGCCGAAAGCCACGGCUUGAGCAAACCGUGCUGCCUGUGGCUCCAUCGUGGGGAUGUAAAACCCGGGAGGCUGCAACCCAUGGAAGCUGUACGCAUGGGGUAGCAGACUAGUGGUUAGAGGAGACCCCUCCCAAGAUACAACGCAGCAGCGGGGCCCAACACCAGGGG
Molecule: long non-coding RNA, 250 nt
Filed under: dengue virus type 1
Lineage: Riboviria; Orthornavirae; Kitrinoviricota; Flasuviricetes; Amarillovirales; Flaviviridae
Description: Dengue virus 1 partial sfRNA1
Rfam family: Flavivirus DB element (bases 148-219)
Source: RNAcentral